This 301-nucleotide ribosomal RNA is filed under the name uncultured bacterium. Its description in RNAcentral is "partial 16S ribosomal RNA". It matches the Rfam family "Bacterial small subunit ribosomal RNA", at positions 509 to 807 of the family's 1533-position model. The record is from RNAcentral.
CAGUAGCCGCGGGAAUACGAGGGGGGCAAGCGUUGUUCGGAAUUAUUGGGCGUAAAGGGCGCGUAGGCGGUUUGGCAAGUUUCGUGUGAAAUCUUCGGGCUCAACUCGAAGUCUGCACGGAAAACUGCCGGGCUUGAGUAUGGGAGAGGUGAGUGGAAUUUCCGGUGUAGCGGUGAAAUGCGUAGAUAUCGGAAGGAACACCUGUGGCGAAAGCGGCUCACUGGACCAUUACUGACGCUGAGGCGCGAAAGCUAGGGGAGCAAACAGGAUUAGAUACCCCGGUAGUCCCUGUCUCUUAUAC